GCAUUAAUGGGGUAGUGGUAACCUGGGUCGUUGCCAUGCAUACUCAAAGGCGUUUACUCGACCCGCCGGGGGUUCGAUUCCCUCUUAAUGCA
Non-coding RNA from Mycena floridula, 92 nucleotides. NCBI's taxonomy places the organism in Eukaryota, Fungi, Basidiomycota, Agaricomycetes, Agaricales, Mycenaceae. The record is from the annotation of a GenBank genome assembly.